CGCCCGUCGCUCCUACCGAUUGGGUGCGCUGGUGAGAUGUCGGGAUUAGUGGCUGUGGGCGGUUCGCCGCCCUCUGCCGCUGAGAACUUCAUCAAACCCUCCCACCUAGAGGAAGGAGAAGUCGUAACAAGGUUCCU
This 137-nucleotide ribosomal RNA is filed under the name uncultured Trebouxiophyceae. RNAcentral describes it as "partial small subunit ribosomal RNA". It matches the Rfam family "Eukaryotic small subunit ribosomal RNA", at positions 1670 to 1804 of the family's 1831-position model. Lineage: Eukaryota; Viridiplantae; Chlorophyta; Trebouxiophyceae. The record is from RNAcentral.